CACCCUUCUAAGACUGUCUUUGAGGAUUUCUAUGUGCAAUUUUUUUAUGUUUGUUUGGUUUUUUGGUUUAGGGGCUAUUUUCAUACAUCCUUCAUCCUGACAGACUCCAGCAUGCAGCUUUUCCCAAACUCAAGCCUUCUCCUCUGUUGGAGCAGUUCAUGUCAGGCAGCAGCUCGCCAUCAUAAGCAUCAAUGAUGUGUCUGGAAUAAAUUACAGAAUGCAAAGAGAGGUGGAAUACAAGCAAAGUUUAGAGAAGAAAAUACGUAUAAAAAAUCAACAAAGAUCAAUUGUGCAUAUGAUUAUUAUUUUUGAAGGAAGAAUACAAAGAAAAGAUAUAUUUAUUAUCUACUAGAGAAAAUGCUUCAUAAAUACAUAAAGGGACUUUUUAAUCUGAAAUUGAAAAGACAUAUUUUGAAAAAAGCAAAAAAAGCAUAAAAAUUAAAAUUAAAAUAGUUGAAAAGAUUAAGUUUAACCUUGAUGCAAUUACUAAAUUCAAGGAAAGGCAGAAUCUUUUAAGAUAUAUCCAGAAAUAAUAACGGAUCAUCUCCAAAGAAAUAAAGCUUGUCUGAGAUUUCUCCAGAAGAUCAGAUGGCAGCAGAUAUUAAAACAAGGUCUAAGGAAUGUUACAGGAAAGCUUAUGAAACUUUUAAUCUUUACUCAGUUGAGGUGUCGUUUGGUGGUAAAGGUAACAAGGGGCAUUUCAAAAAUAAAGAAAAGAAGAAAUAAUUGAAACUUUUCUGAAAAUCUGCUUGGACUUUUGAUUCUGCCCUACUCAUGAAUGGAGAAGCAGCAGUAUAUUAAAAAGUAGAAAUAGGUAUGCAUGAGCUGUAUCAAGAAAGUCUUUUUUUUUUUAAAGAUUGGCACCUGAGCUAACAACUGUUGCCAAUCUUUUUUUUUUUUUUUUUCUGUGUCUUCUCCCCAAAUCCCCCCAGUACAUAGUUGCAUAUUUUAAUUGUGGGUCCUUCUAGUUGUGGCAUGUGGGACAUUGCUUCAGCAUGGCCUAAUGAGCGGUGUCAUGUCUGCGCCCAGGAUCUGAACCAGCGAAACCCCAGGCCAACGAGGGGGAGCGCUCGAACUUAACCACUCGGCCAUGGGGUAGCCCCAAGAAAGUCUUCAUAUAAAUAAAAAAGUACCAACAGUAAAACUGAAGGAAAUAGGGCAAAAAGCUAAUAUUUGAUGAAACUGCACAGUGGGCUGUGGGAGUCAUGUUUUCUGCUAACCUUGUCAACACACAUUCUGGUUAUUUUUGUUUGCCUCUCCAUCUGUUUUCUGC
This 1273-nucleotide long non-coding RNA is filed under the name Equus caballus (horse). Its description in RNAcentral is "lncRNA (ENSECAG00000051086.1)". The record is from RNAcentral. Lineage: Eukaryota; Metazoa; Chordata; Mammalia; Perissodactyla; Equidae.